RNAcentral lists this ribosomal RNA (2884 nucleotides) under Aggregatilinea lenta. Its description in RNAcentral is "bacterial LSU rRNA". It matches the Rfam family "Bacterial large subunit ribosomal RNA". Lineage: Bacteria; Bacillati; Chloroflexota; Anaerolineae; Aggregatilineales; Aggregatilineaceae. The record is from RNAcentral.
CCAAGAGCGUACGGUGGAUGCCUUGGCGCCAAAUGCCGAUGAAGGACGUGGUACACUGCGAAAAGCUCUGGUGAGGAGUGUGCAUCCGCAUGAGCCAGAGAUGUCCGAAUGGGGAAACCCACAUGGGGGCAUGCCCAUGUAUCCACGGGGGAACACAUAGCCCGUGGAAGGGAACCUGGGGAACUGAAACAUCUAAGUACCCAGAGGAAAAGAAACGAUUCCCCGAGUAGUGGCGAGCGAAAGGGGAUUAGCCCAAACUCACCUGCUUGCAGGUGGGGGUUGUAGGGCAGCACGGAAACCUGUAAGUCAGAGGUCGAACGGCUCUGGAAAGGCCGGCCAAAGACGGUGACAGCCCGGUAGACGGACGGACGCGCAGGGGGUGCUGUACCUGAGUACCACGGAGCACGCUAAUUCUGUGGGAAGCUGGGGGGUCCACCCUCCAAGGCUAAAUACGUUUGGCGACCGAUAGCGGACCAGUACCGUGAGGGAAAGGUGAAAAGAACCCCGGUGAGGGGAGUGAAAUAGAACCUGAAACCGUGCGCUUACAAGCAGUCAGAGGCCCAUAAGUGGCUGAUGGCGUGCCUCUUGGAGAAUGAGCCAGCGAGUUAAUUUCUGUGGCGAGGUUAAGGGAGGGACACCCGGAGCCGAAGCGAAAGCGAGUCUGAAGAGGGCGAGCAGUCGCAGGGAUUAGACACGAAACCAGGUGAGCUACCCAUGGCCAGGCUGAAGCGAAGCUAACCCUUCGUGGAGGGCCGAACCUUUCAACGUUGCAAAGUUGAGGGAUGAGCUGUGGGUAGGGGUGAUAUGCCAAACGAACUUGGAGAUAGCUUGUUCUCCCCGAAAUAGCUUUAGGGCUAGCGUCACGUGUUCAGUCCCGGAGGUAAAGCACUGGAUGGGCUAGGGGCCGCAAGGUUACCAAACCCAACCAAACUCUGAAUGCCGGGACUUCAAGCGUGGCAGUCGGACUACGGGAGAUGAGUUUCGUAGUCGAAAGGGAAACAGCCCAGCCCCACAGCUAAGGUCCUCAAGUCCAGGCUCAGUGGAAAACGAGGUGGGAGUGUUUAGACAGCCAGGAGGUUGGCUUAGAAGCAGCCACCCUUUAAAGAGUGCGUAAUAGCUCACUGGUCAAACGCUCCUGCGCGGAUAAUGUAACGGGGCUAAGCCUGGCACCGAAGCUCGGGAUGGUCCGCAAGGGCCGUAGUAGGGGAGCGUUCUGAGGGCAGAGAAGCACGACCGGCAAGGACGUGUGGAGCGCUCAGAAGUGAGAAUGCUGGCAUGAGUAGCGAGAAACAUGUGAGAACCAUGUUCGCCGAAAGUCUAAGGUUUCCGACGGAAGGUCAGUCCGCGUCGGGUUAGUCGGGCCUUAGCCGAGGCCGAAAGGCGUAGGUGAUGGACAACGGGUGAAUAGUCCCGUACCACCAGGAUGGAGCGAUGGAGGGACGCGGUGUGGUAGCUCAGCCGGUUAAUGGAUUCCGGUGCCAAGCGUAGUAGGCGAUGACGGGGGUAGGCAAAUCCGCUCCCCAGCCGAAAGCGCGAGCGCGGUGCCUUCGGGCCAGAAGUGAGUGAACCGUACUGCCAAGAAAAGCUUCUAAGUGAUGAAGUCCUGGUGCCCGUACCGCAAACCGACACAGGUAGACGGGUAGAGAAUACCAAGGCGAACGGGAGAACCCUCGUUAAGGAACUAGGCAAAAUGGCCCCGUAACUUCGGGAGAAGGGGCGCCGCAGCGAUGCGGCCACAGUGAAAUGGCUCUGCCGACUGUUUAACAAAAGCACAGGUCUCUGCGAACGCGAAAGCGGACGUAUAGGGGCUGACACCUGCCCAGUGCCGGAAGGUUAAAGGGAGGGGUUAAGCGGCAACGCUGACGCUCUGAACUGAAGCCCCGGUGAACGGCGGCCGUAACUAUAACGGUCCUAAGGUAGCGAAAUUCCUUGUCGGGUAAGUUCCGACCCGCACGAAUGGUGUAACGAGUGGAGCACUGUCUCAACGAGGGACCCGGCGAAAUUGAAAUACGUGUGAAGAUGCGCGUUCCCCGCAGCAGGACAAAAAGACCCCGUGGAGCUUUACUACAACUUGCUAUUGCGUUAGGGCUUGACUUGUGCAGGAUAGCUGGGAGGCUUUGAAGCUGGCGCGCUAGCGUCGGUGGAGCCGUCGGUGAGAUACCAGCCUGGUGAAGUCUUGGCCCUAACCGUCGGCCUGCGACAGGCGACGGGACAGUGGCAGGCGGGUAGUUUGACUGGGGCGGUCGCCUCCUAAAGGGUAACGGAGGCGCCCAAAGGUUCCCUCAGGUUGAAUGGAAACCAACCGCAGAGUGUAAAGGCACAAGGGAGCUUGACUGCAAGGCCAACGCGCCGAGCAGAGACGAAAGUCGGGCUUAGUGAUCCCACGGUACCGAGUGGAAGGGCCGUGGCUUACCGGAUAAAAGCUACCCCGGGGAUAACAGGCUAGUCUAGUCCAAGAGUUCACAUCGACGACUAGGCUCGGCACCUCGAUGUCGGCUCAUCGCAUCCUGGGGCUGGAUCAGGUCCCAAGGGUCGGGCUGUUCGCCCGUUAAAGCGGUACGUGAGCUGGGUUCAGACCGUCGUGAGACAGGUCGGUCUCUAUCCGCUGUGGGCGUAAGGAGUUUGAGAGGAGCUGCCCCUAGUACGAGAGGACCGGGGUGGACGAAGCGCUCGUGUGCCGGUUGUCACGCCAGUGGCAUCGCCGGGUAGCGACCUUCGGCAGGGAUAACCGCUGAAAGCAUCUAAGCGGGAAGCUCGCCUCAAGAUGAGACUCCUCACUGGAUAACCAGGUAAGACCGCUGGAAGACGACCAGCUUGAUAGGCGGGCGGUGUAAGCGCCGUAAGGCGUUCAGCUAACCCGUACUAAUGGUCGAGGGCUUAUCCA